Molecule: ribosomal RNA, 803 nt
Filed under: uncultured cyanobacterium
Lineage: Bacteria; Bacillati; Cyanobacteriota
Description: bacterial SSU rRNA
Rfam family: Bacterial small subunit ribosomal RNA
Source: RNAcentral
GAGUUUGAUCCUGGCUCAGGAUGAACGCUGGCGGUAUGCUUAAUACAUGCAAGUCGUACGAGAGCUUUUAGCUCUAGUGGCGGACGGGUGAGUAACACGUGAGAAUCUGCCCUUAGGAGGAGGAUAACAGCUGGAAACGGUUGCUAAUACUCCAUAUGCCGAGAGGUGAAAGGAUUUAUCCACCUAAGGAGGAGCUCGCGUCUGAUUAGCUAGUUGGUAGGGUAAUAGCCUACCAAGGCGACGAUCAGUAGCUGGUUUGAGAGGAUGAUCAGCCACACUGGGACUGAGACACGGCCCAGACUCCUACGGGAGGCAGCAGUAGGGAAUUUUCCGCAAUGGGCGAAAGCCUGACGGAGCAAUACCGCGUGAGGGAUGACGGCCUGUGGGUUGUAAACCUCUUUUCUCAAGGAAGAAGCUCUGACGGUACUUGAGGAAUAAGCAUCGGCUAACUCUGUGCCAGCAGCCGCGGUAAUACAGAGGAUGCAAGCGUUAUCCGGAAUCACUGGGCAUAAAGCGUCUGUAGGUGGUUUAUUAAGUCUGCUGUUAAAGACUGGGGCUCAACCCCAGAAAAGCAGUGGAAACUGCUAGACUUGAGUAUGGUAGAGGUAGAGGGAAUUCCUAGUGUAGCGGUGAAAUGCGUAGAUAUUAGGAAGAACACCAAUGGCGAAGGCACUCUACUGGGCCAUAACUGACACUGAGAGACGACAGCUAGGGGAGCAAAUGGGAUUAGAUACCCCAGUAGUCCUAGCCGUAAACGAUGGAUACUAGAUGUUGCACGUUUACCCGUGCAGUAUCGUAAGCUA